Long non-coding RNA from Lathyrus oleraceus (garden pea), 995 nucleotides. RefSeq lists it as uncharacterized. The record is from RefSeq and is a predicted model, not a curated record. The transcript has 3 exons. NCBI's taxonomy places the organism in Eukaryota, Viridiplantae, Streptophyta, Magnoliopsida, Fabales, Fabaceae.
UGAAUUUAAAUCAAAUUAAAAUGUGCCAGUUUCAAAAAUCAGCUCAGACCACAACCUCAUAUGAAACCACCGUGGACCACAACACCGUAAAUCACCUCAAGAGGCAGUGGUCACUAGAAAUGCAAAUUGAUGCCAUCAUCAGCUUCGCCUUCUCACGCUCUCCAUGAAUAUCCACUCAAUUUUACCAGAUUCUAGCCCUAAAUCACUAACAGAAUUGGGAUCCUCAAGAACCCUAGUUUCUUAAUCUUAAAUUAAACUCUACUCUCGAAAAGUCAGAGCCCACAGGAUUGGGGCUCUGAUUCCCCUAGCUUUCCUCUACAUUCCCGUAACAAGAAAUUGAAGAAAAGAAGAUUUUUCAGAAACACCUUACCGGAGAUGAUGAAGACAACGAAGGAAUCUCUGCUUCCAGGCUUGUAGGUCUUCACUGGCAUGUUGUUCAAAUGAACUGAUGUGGUGCAAUGCUUUGGUGUGACUUACUACAUGUGUGAUGGAAAUUCGAUGGUUUGGUUGUGCCAUGGUCAUGGUGAGUUCUACUGCAAGUUUUCAUGUUGCAUUGUUUCAUGGCAUGCUAGCAGGACUCAUGGUUGCUGCAAGGUUCUGCAGGUCUGGUGCAAGCAAGAUGCAGGCAUGUUUGGCUCAUGGUUAUGCACACAUGGUAAAUUGUUGGACAAUGGCUUGCAACAUGAUGUCCACCUAACUUGCACUUGAAGUAUCAUUCACCAAUGGCAAAGAUCAAUGAUCAAGAGAUUAGAAAUGGAAUUUAGGAUUUUGGGUUGUAAAAUGGUUGAGUCGACUUUGGUCAAAGUUGACCAAAAAGUCAAUUAUUGACCAAAGUCAACAUUUGGUCAAUAUGUUAUUUUUGUACUCUUUCCCAAUGCUUUGGACAUUCUCAUGAUUUUUAUAGUGAAAUUUGAUGUUUUUUGUGAAUGAAAUGGAUACUUUGAAUGAUCUUGUAUGAACUUGGUAUUGAAUGGAUAAACAUGACUUGAAAUGAA